UACGUAGGUGGCAAGCGUUAUCCGGAAUUAUUGGGCGUAAAGCGCGCGCAGGCGGUUUCUUAAGUCUGAUGUGAAAGCCCACGGCUCAACCGUGGAGGGUCAUUGGAAACUGGGAAGCUUGAGUGCAGAAGAGGAGAGUGGAAUUCCAUGUGUAGCGGUGAAAUGCGUAGAGAUAUGGAGGAACACCAGUGGCGAAGGCGACUCUCUGGUCUGCAACUGACGCUGAGGCGCGAAAGCGUGGGGAGCGAACAGG
RNAcentral lists this unclassified non-coding RNA (253 nucleotides) under uncultured Bacillaceae bacterium. Its description in RNAcentral is "contains 16S-23S intergenic spacer region". It matches the Rfam family "Bacterial small subunit ribosomal RNA", at positions 524 to 776 of the family's 1533-position model. The record is from RNAcentral. Lineage: Bacteria; Bacillati; Bacillota; Bacilli; Caryophanales; Bacillaceae.